ACCCGGUUGACGAGUCCCAAAUAGGACGAAAUGCGCAUCUUGGAU
This 45-nucleotide non-coding RNA is filed under the name Trichobilharzia regenti. The record is from RNAcentral. Lineage: Eukaryota; Metazoa; Platyhelminthes; Trematoda; Strigeidida; Schistosomatidae.